RNAcentral lists this ribosomal RNA (254 nucleotides) under uncultured bacterium. RNAcentral's name for it is "partial 16S ribosomal RNA". It matches the Rfam family "Bacterial small subunit ribosomal RNA", at positions 524 to 776 of the family's 1533-position model. The record is from RNAcentral.
UACGUAGGGUGCGAGCGUUGUCCGGAAUUAUUGGGCGUAAAGAGCUCGUAGGCGGUGUGUCGCGUCGGUCGUGAAAACUUGGGGCUUAACUCUGAGCUUGCGGUCGAUACGGGCAUCACUGGAGUUCGGCAGGGGAGACUGGAAUUCCUGGUGUAGCGGUGAAAUGCGCAGAUAUCAGGAGGAACACCGGUGGCGAAGGCGGGUCUCUGGGCCGAUACUGACGCUGAGGAGCGAAAGCGUGGGGGGCGAACAGG